RNAcentral lists this ribosomal RNA (468 nucleotides) under uncultured bacterium. Its description in RNAcentral is "partial 16S ribosomal RNA". It matches the Rfam family "Bacterial small subunit ribosomal RNA", at positions 28 to 507 of the family's 1533-position model. The record is from RNAcentral.
GACGAACGCUGGCGGCGUGCUUAACACAUGCAAGUAGAACGGAAAGGCCCUGCUCUUGUGGGGUGCUCGAGUGGCGAACGGGUGAGUAACACGUGAGUAACCUGCCCUUGACUUUGGGAUAACUUCAGGAAACUGGGGCUAAUACAGGAUAGGAGCUCCGGCUGCAUGGGGGGGGUUGGAAAGUGUCGGCGGUUGGGGAUGGACUCGCGGAUUAUCAGCUUGUUGGUGGGGUAGUGGCUUACCAAGGCUUUGACGGGUAGCCGGCCUGGGAGGGUGACCGGCCACAGUCGGACUGAGAUACGGCCCAGACUCCUUCUGGAGGCAUCAGUGCGGAAUUGUGCACAAUGGGCGGAAGCCUGAUGCAGCAACGCCGCGUGGGGGAUGACGGCCGUCGGGUUGUAACCCGCUUUCGCCUGUGACGAAGCGUGAGUGACGGUAAUGGGUAAAGAAGCACCGGCUAACUACGUG